RNAcentral lists this transfer RNA (72 nucleotides) under Hepatospora eriocheir. It matches the Rfam family "tRNA". Rfam says of the family: Transfer RNA (tRNA) molecules are approximately 80 nucleotides in length. Their secondary structure includes four short double-helical elements and three loops (D, anti-codon, and T loops). Further hydrogen bonds mediate the characteristic L-shaped molecular structure. tRNAs have two regions of fundamental functional importance: the anti-codon, which is responsible for specific mRNA codon recognition, and the 3' end, to which the tRNAs corresponding amino acid is attached (by aminoacyl-tRNA synthetases). tRNAs cope with the degeneracy of the genetic code in two manners: having more than one tRNA (with a specific anti-codon) for a particular amino acid; and 'wobble' base-pairing, i.e. permitting non-standard base-pairing at the 3rd anti-codon position. Lineage: Eukaryota; Fungi; Microsporidia; Hepatosporidae. The record is from Rfam by way of RNAcentral.
GCCCUUAUAGUAUAAUGGCUAGAAUUUGUGGCUUCUAACCACACGGUCUGGGUUCGAAUCCCAGUAAGGGUG